This 1163-nucleotide ribosomal RNA is filed under the name Streptomyces hygroscopicus subsp. hygroscopicus. Its description in RNAcentral is "partial 23S ribosomal RNA". It matches the Rfam family "Bacterial large subunit ribosomal RNA", at positions 1771 to 2925 of the family's 2925-position model. Lineage: Bacteria; Bacillati; Actinomycetota; Actinomycetes; Kitasatosporales; Streptomycetaceae. The record is from RNAcentral.
UGGUGGCCGCAGAGACCAGCGAGAAGCGACUGUUUACUAAAAACACAGGUCCGUGCGAAGCCGUAAGGCGAUGUAUACGGACUGACGCCUGCCCGGUGCUGGAACGUUAAGGGGACCGGUUAGUCAUAUUUCGGUGUGGCGAAGCUGAGAACUUAAGCGCCAGUAAACGGCGGUGGUAACUAUAACCAUCCUAAGGUAGCGAAAUUCCUUGUCGGGUAAGUUCCGACCUGCACGAAUGGCGUAACGACUUCUCGACUGUCUCAACCAUAGGCCCGGUGAAAUUGCAUUACGAGUAAAGAUGCUCGUUUCGCGCAGCAGGACGGAAAGACCCCGGGACCUUUACUAUAGCUUGAUAUUGGUGUUCGGUUCGGCUUGUGUAGGAUAGGUGGGAGACUGUGAAGCCGCAACGCCAGUUGUGGUGGAGUCGUUGUUGAAAUACCACUCUGGUCGUGCUGGAUGUCUAACCUGGGUCCGUGAUCCGGAUCAGGGACAGUGUCUGGUGGGUAGUUUAACUGGGGCGGUUGCCUCCUAAAGGGUAACGGAGGCGCCCAAAGGUUCCCUCAGCCUGGUUGGCAAUCAGGUGUUGAGUGUAAGUGCACAAGGGAGCUUGACUGUGAGACUGACGGGUCGAGCAGGGACGAAAGUCGGGACUAGUGAUCCGGCGGUGGCUUGUGGAAGCGCCGUCGCUCAACGGAUAAAAGGUACCCCGGGGAUAACAGGCUGAUCUUCCCCAAGAGUCCAUAUCGACGGGAUGGUUUGGCACCUCGAUGUCGGCUCGUCGCAUCCUGGGGCUGGAGUCGGUCCCAAGGGUUGGGCUGUUCGCCCAUUAAAGCGGUACGCGAGCUGGGUUUAGAACGUCGUGAGACAGUUCGGUCCCUAUCCGCUGUGCGCGUAGGAGUCUUGAGAAGGGCUGUCCCUAGUACGAGAGGACCGGGACGGACGAACCUCUGGUGUGCCAGUUGUUCUGCCAAGGGCAUGGCUGGUUGGCUACGUUCGGGAGGGAUAACCGCUGAAAGCAUCUAAGCGGGAAGCCUGCUUCGAGAUGAGGGCUCCCACCUCCUUGAGGGGUUAAGGCUCCCAGUAGACGACUGGGUUGAUAGGCCAGAUAUGGAAGCCGGGUGACCGGUGGAGUUGACUGGUACUAAUAGGCCGAGGGCUUGUCC